AGUGUCACAAAUAAUAGUUUUUUUUUAUGUUUGCUUUUUUUACGGAAAAUUAAUAGUCUACUAAUAAAAACAGCUUUGCCAUGAAAAGCGUUUGGGCCCUAAUAAAGUGUUGGAAUAAACUGUGAUCUUCAAUUUUAGUAUUUAGUUAGAACACAGGGUGUGACAGAUAUUAGAUUUAAUACAGGAACAGGACGACCUUCUUGCAUUGUUAAAUGUUAUGAAUGGGUCACACAGCCCGUA
Molecule: non-coding RNA, 240 nt
Organism: Pelobates cultripes (western spadefoot toad)
Lineage: Eukaryota; Metazoa; Chordata; Amphibia; Anura; Pelobatidae
Source: the annotation of a GenBank genome assembly